GGGCGGUUAGCUCAGUUGGGAGAGCGCUGCGUUCGCAUCGCAGAGGCCGAGGGUUCGAAUCCCUUAUCGUCCACCA
RNAcentral lists this transfer RNA (76 nucleotides) under Oscillospiraceae bacterium. RNAcentral describes it as "tRNA-Ala". It matches the Rfam family "tRNA". Rfam says of the family: Transfer RNA (tRNA) molecules are approximately 80 nucleotides in length. Their secondary structure includes four short double-helical elements and three loops (D, anti-codon, and T loops). Further hydrogen bonds mediate the characteristic L-shaped molecular structure. tRNAs have two regions of fundamental functional importance: the anti-codon, which is responsible for specific mRNA codon recognition, and the 3' end, to which the tRNAs corresponding amino acid is attached (by aminoacyl-tRNA synthetases). tRNAs cope with the degeneracy of the genetic code in two manners: having more than one tRNA (with a specific anti-codon) for a particular amino acid; and 'wobble' base-pairing, i.e. permitting non-standard base-pairing at the 3rd anti-codon position. Lineage: Bacteria; Bacillati; Bacillota; Clostridia; Eubacteriales; Oscillospiraceae. The record is from RNAcentral.